CCAUGCACCGCUGCAAAUAUCUACUAAUUCUGCACCUAUUGGUGUUAGAAGAUCACGCCAGGAAGACCAGAAUGUGACUGCUCUGCCGGUUCAGGCCAAUGGACAAAAGACUGCAAACCCCUGUGAGAUCAGUGUGAUACCUAACACCCCUGAGCAAAAACGUCCAAGACAAUCAACUCAAUCAGAAGACACGGAGUUCUGGAAUGAACAUUUUGCUCAAGC
Cyprinus carpio (common carp) is the source of this 222-nucleotide long non-coding RNA. RefSeq lists it as uncharacterized. The record is from RefSeq and is a predicted model, not a curated record. Lineage: Eukaryota; Metazoa; Chordata; Actinopteri; Cypriniformes; Cyprinidae. The transcript is spliced from 3 exons.